AGGUGGUGCAUGGCCGUCGUCAGUUCGUACUGUGAAGCAUCCUGUUAAGUCAGGCAACGAGCGAGACCCAGCCCACAGUUGCCAGCGUACUCUCUGGAGUGACGGGUACACUGUGGGGACCGCCGCUGCUAAAGCGGAGGAAGGAAUGGGCAACGGUAGGUCAGUAUGCCCCGAAUAUCCCGGGCUACACGCGAGCUACAAUGGUUGGUACAAUGGGUAUCUACCCCGAAAGGGGACGGGAAUCUCCUAAAACCAAUCUUAGUUCGGAUUGAGGCUGCAACUCGCCCUCAUGAAGCUGGAAUCCGUAGUAAUCGCGUUUCAACAGAACGCGGUGAAUACGUCCCUGCUCCUU
Molecule: ribosomal RNA, 352 nt
Filed under: uncultured Methanosaeta sp.
Lineage: Archaea; Methanobacteriati; Methanobacteriota; Methanomicrobia; Methanotrichales; Methanotrichaceae
Description: bacterial SSU rRNA
Rfam family: Archaeal small subunit ribosomal RNA
Source: RNAcentral